GAAUUAAUUAAACAAAGAGAAAAAAUAAAAAAAAAAGAUACGCCUCUCUCUCUCACGUGAAGCGACGGUGGCGACAGCUCUCCGAUUUCGAUCGCCAUCAGCUUCAAUCUCGUCGAAUCUACCGCCUCGAACAUCAGGAGGUGAAUGGCUCUGCUGCGAAAGAUGGUAGAGCUCUGCCACAAGGGGGAUUCACUUGUUGUUUAGCCAUGGAUGGUCUUAAGGUUCUUGCUUCUGGGUUUCAGAUCGAUGAAAAGGUACUUCACUUCGUCUUCUCUUUGUUAGUAUAAUAGAUAUCGUUUGUAGUUUAUUAGGAUCCGUUAUUCCCCUUUUGUAUAGUGUCCAUGGGAAUGGUUGUGAGUUUUGACUCUAUGUUGCCUCAGCGAUCUUAGGUCAAGAUAGAGAAGCUAGUUCCUUCCAUGGAGGGAGUUUUGGUUUCCAGAACUUCUUCAGAUGUCAACUUCGUCAUUGUCAAGAACGUCCUGGCUGCUAAGUACAAGGUCUGUUGCUCAAAGAUUGCCAAUCAAUAUUCUUUUUAGCUUCUAAAUGUUCACUUCACACAUCUGUAGAUUAUCAUCGUUGGCUACCGGUUUAUUUUUUAUUUUUGCUUAAUGAACAUUCCAACACUGCUGUUUUUCUUCAUGCAUCUCAAAAGAUUAAUCAGUUAUGUUAGUACAUAGGUGAUUUCCUUAGAACGGAGGCUUUCGAGCGGGAGGAAAGAUUUACUAUGCAGUAUGCAGCUCUAGUGAAACAUCUCUCCUUUUCCCAGAAAUUGUUUUGGAUCAGUCUUUUGCCUCUGAUGACUAAUGUGGGCCCUGUAUGUUCGGAAGAAGCCAGUUGUUGCACUGAGUUGGUUACAUCAGUGUUGGAAUGAGCAUCGUGUGAUGACAGCUUUUAAGAAUUCCACAAAUUCACCGAGUCAGUGAUGACAGCUUUUAAGAACUGAAGUGAAAAACACCUGGGGGAGGGGGACGAGGAUAAGCAAGAAUAGUGAUCAGUGAAAGAGGUUUCUGUGGGGUGGGGGAGUUCGUUCAAACAAAGCUCACAAGUUGUAGAAUGUUGUUUCUAAUUUGAGGAUCAUGCAGGUUUUUUUUUGUUUUUUACUUUCCGGGAAGAACAAUAAGUUAUAUUUCCGAUUUUACUCUUAUGUUAAGUUGGUACUCAUGAAAUCUGGAGAACAUAGUUGCUACCAAGCAUACCAAAGAUCAAUUUAAGAUUUUUAGGAAAGG
This is an RNA transcript of Raphanus sativus (radish), 1226 nucleotides long. RefSeq lists it as uncharacterized. Lineage: Eukaryota; Viridiplantae; Streptophyta; Magnoliopsida; Brassicales; Brassicaceae. The transcript is spliced from 5 exons. The record is from RefSeq and is a predicted model, not a curated record.